RNAcentral lists this transfer RNA (88 nucleotides) under archaeon. RNAcentral's name for it is "tRNA-Leu". It matches the Rfam family "tRNA". Rfam says of the family: Transfer RNA (tRNA) molecules are approximately 80 nucleotides in length. Their secondary structure includes four short double-helical elements and three loops (D, anti-codon, and T loops). The record is from RNAcentral. RNAcentral also lists the same sequence under 2 other names.
GCGGAGGUCGCCAAGCUAGGUCAAAGGCGUAGGAUUGAGGUUCCUAUCUCUUAGGAGUUCGUGGGUUCGAAUCCCACUCUCCGCACCA